Long non-coding RNA from Cucumis melo (muskmelon), 386 nucleotides. RefSeq lists it as uncharacterized. NCBI's taxonomy places the organism in Eukaryota, Viridiplantae, Streptophyta, Magnoliopsida, Cucurbitales, Cucurbitaceae. The record is from RefSeq and is a predicted model, not a curated record. The transcript has 3 exons.
GCCAUGUCCCUCAAUUAUAACUUGCAUCGACUUGGAUCUAGAAACUGAAUCUCUUAUCAUUGGUCGCGCUGGAUUGGUGACAUUGAAGUUUGGGUUGAAGAAUCUUUAUCUUUUUCAAGCUCCUAGUUAAGAGUGUUACUACCAAGACUCCCCAUAAGUGCUUGCUACUAGAUUGGGUGUUCAGGAGAAGUCAUUGUUGAAGGUAGAUGGUCUUCCAAUGAUCCAUCUGUUAUUGAUGAUGUUGUGGGUACUAUUGUAGCAUGACCAAUGGAUAAAGUCAAACUAUGUGAUUGAUGUGUGGAGAAAACAUUGGAGCAACACAUAUAGUUGGAUAAUAGAACUAUUGCUACAAUUUGAACAUCUUUUUUUAUCCUAUCAAAAAUUUG